RNAcentral lists this ribosomal RNA (468 nucleotides) under uncultured bacterium. Its description in RNAcentral is "partial 16S ribosomal RNA". It matches the Rfam family "Bacterial small subunit ribosomal RNA", at positions 28 to 507 of the family's 1533-position model. The record is from RNAcentral.
GACGAACGCUGGCGGCGUGCUUAACACAUGCAAGUCGAACGGAAAGGCCCUGCUUUUGUGGGGUGCUCGAGUGGCGAACGGGUGAGUAACACGUGAGUAACCUGCCCUUGACUUUGGGAUAACUUCAGGAAACUGGGGCUAAUACCGGAUAGGAGCUCCUGCUGCACGGUGGGGGUUGGAAAGUUUCGGCGGUUGUGGAUGGACUCGCGGCUUAUCAGCUUGUUGGUGGGGUAGUGGCUUACCAAGGCUUUGACGGGUAGCCGGCCUGAGAGGGUAACCGGCCACAUGGGUACUGAGGGACGGCCCAGACUCCUACGGUAGGCAGCAGUGGAGAAUAUUACGGAAUGGGCGGAAGCCUGAUGCAGCAACGCCGCGUGCGGGAUGACGGCCUUCGGGUUGUAAACCGCUUUCGCCUGUAACGAAGCGUGAGUGACGGUAAUGGGUAAGGAAGCACCGGCUAACUACGUG